CGCAGGGGGUAAGAUACAGGGCUGUGGGAACGGGAAGAGGAACAGGCAGCGGCAGGCGGGGCACAGGGGGAGUGGCAGCCGGGGGAGGAGGAGAGCUCCCGGGGGUUGCGGCCGGGGCGAGGCGAGGUGGCUGCGUCAGCAAGCGGCUUCCAGGACCUGAGCAGUUCAGUUUCAAAUGGGUGCCUGUGCGAGCCGUGCCGUACCCCUCUGUCCUCCUGUCACCACCGGGUCGCCUGGACCCGAGCUUUCCACUGUCUGUGAGGUUUUCCACAGACUCCGUACUUUGCGCAGAGUGGAAUCAUACGCCGUUGCUCAGUCCUCGUUUGUCAGAUGGGAGGAGGUUAAAUGCCUUGGCUAGAACUACAGAAAGCCCUUACAAGAACAUAAAUGUGGGCCAGAUAAGCCUGUGUAAAUCAUGGACAGGCAUGAACUGCCAAAGAAGGAACCAGUACACUCAUUUGCCUUUAUAACAGCCUAAGUAUCAUGUAAUAUCCAGGUUCAUCUCAAUCUCCUAGUUACCAUGGGUCAGGCUGUGCAGCUGGAUGACGAGAAAUUUUUGGUGCAUUAGUGCCAAAUGUAUUUUAAAGGAGACUACCUCACUGCCAGGCCAAACUUGUCAUGGGCAUUAGUGGUUUGCUGGGGCCUUCCAUACCCUGGCAAGAGCAUUUCAGCAACUUACCUCUUAAAGAGACUGUUCUUGGAGUCUGCCGGGGAGAUUGAACUGCUUGAUGAGAUAAAUAUGGAGAUACGUAUUUUGAAGAUCCAGGUUUGGGGUUUCUUGAGGCCUCAGCUAACAAUCCUGUCAGUGCUUGAACAGGUUUGUGUGUGUGUGUGCUGCCAGAGGCAAGUACCCAGCUGGCACUUAGGGCAGUUUAAGUCAGUGAUGACCAAAUGGUAAAUUUAAAAUAAAUGAUCACGUCCAAGAUCUAUGUACACAAUAUGCAUGCACUAGUUUCAGUGGGUUCACUUGCAAUUUAAGCAUGUUAAUGCAUAUUUUGGGCCUGGUAGUUUGCAAAUUUUUGUUGUGGAGGUUCAUAGAUUAGAUACUUGGACUAUUUUAACAAAUAGCCAUUUUUGCAUUUAAGGUACAUUACUGGAAAUCAGAGAAAGUUCACUGAAACACAUAAUGAACAAAUUCUGGCUACUUUGUCUUUUUUUCUUUUUUUCAUUUUCUUUUUAUUUUUAUCUUCCUUCUCAAUUCAUUCUCCUUUUGCAGAAGGCAAUCACCCUUUCUCCAUGCCCUCCUGAACACUUACCUUCUCAGUGAGGCCCUGGCACUAGUCUAUCUAAGUAAAAGGUUAGAUGUGUUGUGAAAACACGGAGUGGGAAAGAGUCUUUGUUUAAGUUCUUGAGUUUUAUCUGCCUGUUUAGACUGUGACUCUGGUUAAAAAACUUUUGAAUUGUAUAAUAAAACCUCCACAGAAUUUAGUAUUUAAAAAAUGCUAAAAGAGCCUAUGUGUGCAUGUAUACACACACACACUAUAUAUACAUAUAGUCUGUGCAUCUGUACUAUUUGCUGAAUUGACUGCCUCAGGAGAAAGGUGUUGUAGGUGUCUAGGCUUAUUUUAAAUUGGAAAUGUAACUAAAAUUGAUGAUGUGACAAAAGGUGACUGCCUAAUCAGACUUCUCAAUGUUA
Long non-coding RNA from Pezoporus occidentalis (night parrot), 1636 nucleotides. RefSeq lists it as uncharacterized. The transcript has 2 exons. The record is from RefSeq and is a predicted model, not a curated record. NCBI's taxonomy places the organism in Eukaryota, Metazoa, Chordata, Aves, Psittaciformes, Psittacidae.